Long non-coding RNA from Passer domesticus (house sparrow), 781 nucleotides. RefSeq lists it as uncharacterized. The record is from RefSeq and is a predicted model, not a curated record. The transcript has 4 exons. NCBI's taxonomy places the organism in Eukaryota, Metazoa, Chordata, Aves, Passeriformes, Passeridae.
UGGAAAGUGGAGGCACUAAUCAAUUGGCAGGACUGGCAAAUACAAUUGAUAAAAUGGGUGAUAAAAUUAUGGGAGUAAAGUAGAAGCCCUGACUUAGCUACUACAGGGAAGAUUCUCAACAUCGAGAAAGCCAGAUGAGAGCUUCCUGCAGGUUUCUCACUGACAACAGAACUGUUUAGGAAGAAGCAGAAAUUACAGCAGCAUGGGGGUACCUGCCUGUGGAUAACAAGGGAUGAUGUGAAGGGAUGCAGGAGCAACAGUUCUUGCAAACAAAGUCCUGAGAACCCUGUGCUGAGAUAGUGACUGCCUCAAAAUUCACAUUGCCGGGAAAAAAUUAACAAGAGUUCACAGAGUUUGCCCAAGCCAACCAUCAUAUGGCUCAAACAGAAAUGGAUGGGGAAUUCUGUAGAGACUUGAGGAGAGGCAUCAGCUUGGAAUCAACUGUGAAAGAUGUAUGAAAAUUCACAGGACUGGGGAGAGAAUGGUAACAACAGCAGAGCUGAAAGAAUGUGAUAUACAGAGUAGAUAUGUAAACUGAGACGUCUUUUCAAAUGAGAGCAGAUAAAUUCAGAGGGGCAGAGAUAACCAUUGGGAAAGCACAGAAGUCUCUGGUUUGUCUUCUGAAGCUUCACUGUGUCCUUCAAGAAUGUAACCAGGCCCCAGGUAAUGGACUGCUACAAAAUUUGUUUGUUCCCACAAUUCUUUCUUAAGCUAAGGCCUAAAGCUCUACAGUCUUGGAUGCACUUCCAUUAAAAAAAAAAAAUAAAGUGCCUUUCCAAAA